Molecule: non-coding RNA, 24 nt
Filed under: Mus musculus (house mouse)
Lineage: Eukaryota; Metazoa; Chordata; Mammalia; Rodentia; Muridae
Also listed under: 1 other name
Source: RNAcentral
UCUAGAAGAUGUGCUGGCAGCUGC